This 206-nucleotide ribosomal RNA is filed under the name Chaetothyriales sp. RNAcentral's name for it is "partial large subunit ribosomal RNA". Lineage: Eukaryota; Fungi; Ascomycota; Eurotiomycetes; Chaetothyriales. The record is from RNAcentral.
AAGCGCUGGCAACCAGACUCGAGCGCGGUGUUCCCCCUGGCUUCUGCUAGGGUUACUUCACCGUGUCCGGGCCAUCAUCAGUUUUGGGGACCGGUCAAAGGCCCCGGGAAUGUAUCGUCUCCUUCGGGGGACGACUUAUAGCCCACCGUGUAAUACCCUGGGGGGGACUGAGGUUCGCGCAUCUGCAAGGAUGCUGGCGUAAUGGU